UUUUAAUAUCAUUUCCAUAUGUAAGCUGUACUUAAACUAAAUUAUUGUAAAAUUUGAGCGAUUUCUGUAAUAAAUUUCUUUUUUUAUUUCGAUAUUAACUUUAUUUCUCCUAUUACUUCAACAGAAAAAAAAACACUUUUACAUAAAUGUAUGCUUCUUUGGAAGACUGAUUAUGAGCGCAAAUGAAGGGUGACCCCACUUUUUUUAUUUUAUUUUUCUAUUAACUAUAAUAUAAAGUUCAUUUAUAGAAAAAUAUAGAGAAAUCCUAUAUAAAUGAUUUAGACCCGCCACCCCCUUAAAGUUUCUUGAUGAUCGCUUUCUAAAGUUUUUACUCCCUCAGCUCUCUACUAAAAAAACUCUAUUUUCAGCCACAUGACCCAAACAGGGAGUUGUACAUUUGACUGUCUUUCCCAGAUUGGAUUAAAUAGCGAUAAGGUGUAUUUUUUCGUAUUUUCCGGGAUUGUUGAAAACUUGCAUAUUCAUCACUAUCUGAUUUUGUGGUUUUAACAAU
RNAcentral lists this long non-coding RNA (511 nucleotides) under Mytilus galloprovincialis (Mediterranean mussel). The record is from RNAcentral. Lineage: Eukaryota; Metazoa; Mollusca; Bivalvia; Mytilida; Mytilidae.